This 250-nucleotide ribosomal RNA is filed under the name uncultured bacterium. RNAcentral describes it as "partial 16S ribosomal RNA". It matches the Rfam family "Bacterial small subunit ribosomal RNA", at positions 355 to 602 of the family's 1533-position model. The record is from RNAcentral.
GGAUGAAUAUUGGUCAAUGGGCGUAAGCCUGAACCAGCCAAGUCGCGUGAGGGAUGAAGGUUCUAUGGAUCGUAAACCUCUUUUAUAAGGGAAUAAAGUGCGGGACGUGUCCCGUUUUGUAUGUACCUUAUGAAUAAGGAUCGGCUAACUCCGUGCCAGCAGCCGCGGUAAUACGGAGGAUCCGAGCGUUAUCCGGAUUUAUUGGGUUUAAAGGGUGCGUAGGCGGCCUUUUAAGUCAGCGGUGAAAGUC